This 1473-nucleotide ribosomal RNA is filed under the name Lacticaseibacillus casei. RNAcentral describes it as "bacterial SSU rRNA". It matches the Rfam family "Bacterial small subunit ribosomal RNA". The record is from RNAcentral. Lineage: Bacteria; Bacillati; Bacillota; Bacilli; Lactobacillales; Lactobacillaceae.
GGCGGCGUGCCUAAUACAUGCAAGUCGAACGAGUUCUCGUUGAUGAUCGGUGCUUGCACCGAGAUUCAACAUGGAACGAGUGGCGGACGGGUGAGUAACACGUGGGUAACCUGCCCUUAAGUGGGGGAUAACAUUUGGAAACAGAUGCUAAUACCGCAUAGAUCCAAGAACCGCAUGGUUCUUGGCUGAAAGAUGGCGUAAGCUAUCGCUUUUGGAUGGACCCGCGGCGUAUUAGCUAGUUGGUGAGGUAAUGGCUCACCAAGGCGAUGAUACGUAGCCGAACUGAGAGGUUGAUCGGCCACAUUGGGACUGAGACACGGCCCAAACUCCUACGGGAGGCAGCAGUAGGGAAUCUUCCACAAUGGACGCAAGUCUGAUGGAGCAACGCCGCGUGAGUGAAGAAGGCUUUCGGGUCGUAAAACUCUGUUGUUGGAGAAGAAUGGUCGGCAGAGUAACUGUUGUCGGCGUGACGGUAUCCAACCAGAAAGCCACGGCUAACUACGUGCCAGCAGCCGCGGUAAUACGUAGGUGGCAAGCGUUAUCCGGAUUUAUUGGGCGUAAAGCGAGCGCAGGCGGUUUUUUAAGUCUGAUGUGAAAGCCCUCGGCUUAACCGAGGAAGCGCAUCGGAAACUGGGAAACUUGAGUGCAGAAGAGGACAGUGGAACUCCAUGUGUAGCGGUGAAAUGCGUAGAUAUAUGGAAGAACACCAGUGGCGAAGGCGGCUGUCUGGUCUGUAACUGACGCUGAGGCUCGAAAGCAUGGGUAGCGAACAGGAUUAGAUACCCUGGUAGUCCAUGCCGUAAACGAUGAAUGCUAGGUGUUGGAGGGUUUCCGCCCUUCAGUGCCGCAGCUAACGCAUUAAGCAUUCCGCCUGGGGAGUACGACCGCAAGGUUGAAACUCAAAGGAAUUGACGGGGGCCCGCACAAGCGGUGGAGCAUGUGGUUUAAUUCGAAGCAACGCGAAGAACCUUACCAGGUCUUGACAUCUUUUGAUCACCUGAGAGAUCAGGUUUCCCCUUCGGGGGCAAAAUGACAGGUGGUGCAUGGUUGUCGUCAGCUCGUGUCGUGAGAUGUUGGGUUAAGUCCCGCAACGAGCGCAACCCUUAUGACUAGUUGCCAGCAUUUAGUUGGGCACUCUAGUAAGACUGCCGGUGACAAACCGGAGGAAGGUGGGGAUGACGUCAAAUCAUCAUGCCCCUUAUGACCUGGGCUACACACGUGCUACAAUGGAUGGUACAACGAGUUGCGAGACCGCGAGGUCAAGCUAAUCUCUUAAAGCCAUUCUCAGUUCGGACUGUAGGCUGCAACUCGCCUACACGAAGUCGGAAUCGCUAGUAAUCGCGGAUCAGCACGCCGCGGUGAAUACGUUCCCGGGCCUUGUACACACCGCCCGUCACACCAUGAGAGUUUGUAACACCCGAAGCCGGUGGCGUAACCCUUUUAGGGAGCGAGCCGUCUAAGGUGGGACAAAUG